Long non-coding RNA from Lotus japonicus, 498 nucleotides. RefSeq lists it as uncharacterized. The record is from RefSeq and is a predicted model, not a curated record. The transcript is spliced from 3 exons. NCBI's taxonomy places the organism in Eukaryota, Viridiplantae, Streptophyta, Magnoliopsida, Fabales, Fabaceae.
UGGAAUUUGAAGCAUCAGUUUGAUUUCUCACACUAUUUUAUAACUCAUAGUCACCUCAUCUUCUAAACUGAUCCAUCUAGAAACCUUUCAACUCAUGAAACUUUUCCUAUAUAUUCAUUGCCAUGUAGGUGUUCCCCUUGCAAUUGCCGGAUUCUAGGCUUAUGGGAACCAGCCAUUAAAAAACCUCCAGCAAGCAACUGGUGCAAUACAUUGUGCAACUAUUGGCAAACGAUUUAGGAAUGAUUUCAUGUUUUCAGUUGAGAUUCCAUGUGAGAAAACCCCUGUUUUAUUUUGUGAUAAUCAAAGUGCACUUCACAUUGCUGCUAAUCCAGUGUUUCAUGAACGCACAAAACAUUUGGAGAUUGAUUGCCAUAUUGUUAGAGAGAAAUUGCAAACUGGUGUGCUCAAAUUACUGCCUAUACCUACUGCAUUACAGGUUGCUGAUGUGUUUACCAAGGCUUUGCAGCCCCGGAUUUUUCAAGGUUUUAUUAGCAAGCU